RNAcentral lists this ribosomal RNA (435 nucleotides) under Macaca mulatta (Rhesus monkey). RNAcentral describes it as "partial 12S ribosomal RNA". It matches the Rfam family "Bacterial small subunit ribosomal RNA", at positions 508 to 1191 of the family's 1533-position model. The record is from RNAcentral. Lineage: Eukaryota; Metazoa; Chordata; Mammalia; Primates; Cercopithecidae.
CCAGCCACCGCGGUUACACGAUUAACCCUAGCUAAUAGGAACCGGCGUAGAGGGUGUUUAAGAUCUGACAUAAUAAAGCUAAACUCCAUCUAAACUGUAAAACUCUAGCUGAUGUAAAAUAAACUACGAAAGUGGCUUUAAAGUUUCUGAACACACAAUAGCCAGGACCCAAACUGGGAUUAGACACCCUACUAUGCUUGGCCCUAAACCUCAGUAGUUAGAUAACAAAACUACUCGCCAGAAUACUACGAGCUACAGCUUAAAACUCAAAGGACUUGACGGUGCUUUACACCCCCUAGAGGAGCCUGUUCCGUAAUCGAUAAACCCCGAUCCACCCCACCCUCUCUUGCUCAGCCUAUAUACCGCCAUCUUCAGCAAACCCUAAUGAAGGUCACAAAGUGAGCGCAAACGCCAUCACCGCGAAUACGUUAGGUC